Acromyrmex echinatior (Panamanian leafcutter ant) is the source of this 2812-nucleotide RNA transcript. It is a transcript of the gene named heparan sulfate 6-O-sulfotransferase, with no coding region annotated. NCBI's taxonomy places the organism in Eukaryota, Metazoa, Arthropoda, Insecta, Hymenoptera, Formicidae. The record is from RefSeq and is a predicted model, not a curated record.
AAUCCGUGACUGCCUGUGCGCUGUAAGUGCGACAAAUUUUGUUAAAUAAGUUUGAUAAUCGUUAUCAAAGUAGAAUAUAUUUUCUAAUUAUUCCUCUACACCUAUGCUAUUGAAAUAUAGUGUGUUCCUAGUCGUAUUCCUUGGAUAAAUUUUUGUCAAUCCUAGUCGAGUGUUUUAAGCGAACUUUUAUUUUUUUUUGUCAUGGCCGAUAUACUCGAGUGUAUUUACAGCCGGAUCGUGUCAGUGUGCGAUGGUAAACGUCAAUUGUACUCAACAAUUCGUUAAGAGCUGGUGAAGUUGCUAGUGUCAAGCAACGUGAAACAUGGGUGACGAUAAUAAUGGGCAGACGAACGGGUGUCGAUGCGGAGAUAGACGCUACUAUUAGCGAGCUGGAAGUGCUCGUCGCGUCGGAGGUUGAAAGGGAAGACGAGGGGGAGGGGAAGGAGAAUAUAUACGACGGAAGGUCUGCGACGAGAAUGGAAUCGCGGCACCCACGCAAGAAUCGUCUACGUAGCAUCGUCGGGAUAUGCCUGUUCCUUGCGCUGACCGGGAUCAUUUACCUGGGCUACUUCUGCCCUGAUCACGUGUGCGCUUUGACAAACCGCGAGAUUAGGGAGUCUAUUGGAUUGUCAGAGAGCCUGUCCAUCCCUGGGUCACCUGUCGCUGGUUCCGCUGCGCUCUCUUCAGUUUCCAUCGAGCUUGAUAGAAAUGGUUUGCUCUCAGUGCAUCCCGCCUUCAAGCUACAGAGCAUCCAGGGUAGUCUAGGCUAUGAUGACAUCUUUGCCAAUGACACCUUUCAAUUUGAUAUCAACGCUCACGAUGUUAUGGUCUUCCUUCACAUACAAAAAACAGGUGGCACACUAUUUGGCAAACAUCUGGUGCGAGAUUUAGAAUUACAAAGACCAUGCUCAUGUCAACGACGACGCAAGCGUUGCUUCUGUUUCCGUCCAAAUCAUAACGAAAAUUGGUUAUUCUCACGAUACUCUACCGGCUGGAAGUGUGGAUUACAUGCGGAUUGGACCGAAUUGACAAAUUGUGUUGAUACGGAACUUAAUAAAAUUGAAGGAGAUGGAAUUAAGCGCCGUUACUUUUACAUAACUAUCAUAAGGGAUCCCGUUGCAAGAUAUCUCUCUGAGUUUAGGCACGUGCAGAGAGGUGCUACAUGGAGAGGUGCUCGUCAUUGGUGCGGAGGUACUCAAGCAAAUAUACCUCAGUGUUACGAUGGUCCCAAUUGGAAAGGUGUUACCCUGGAAGAGUUUAUGGAAUGCCCCUACAAUUUGGCAAGAAAUCGUCAAACGAGAAUGCUGGCAGAUCUAUCGAUAGUUGGCUGUUAUAACUCCACUCUUAGCAAAACUGAUAAAGAACGUCUAAUAUUAGCUAGUGCUAAACACAACUUACAAUUUAUGCCUUUCUUCAUGCUGACUGAAUACCAGAAGGUGGGGCAGUACACCUUUGAAGAAACAUUUAAAAUGCGAUUUGCGGUUGCAUUUGAGCAGCAUAAUGCCACACUUAGUGCAGCCACUAUGGCAACCCUCAGUAUAGAACAAUUAGACGCCGUACGUAAACUCAACAGUCUGGACCUAGAACUCUACGAAUUUGCAAAGAAUCUUGCUUUUCAAAGAUUUAAACGGCUUAGAGAUCGUGAUCCACAUUUCGUACAACGAUUCCAACACCUUGGUGAAUUGCCAUCGAGGCAAAGUGCCACAGAAUUUAAUUGGGAUUCUGUCAUUGAAGAUACCACGGAUAACGAAUGAUGUAUUAUAUUACAAGAUAAUAAUAUUCAGUAAUAAGAUGUGAUGUCGUAACAUCCCUUCAUUGAAAGACGAGAAAGAAUUGAGUCCACACACAGCAAAGUAAAAAUACAAAGAAUAUAACGUCAUUGGUUAACAUGUCUAACAAUCAACAUGGAAAAGAUACAAAUUAGGAACAAUGAAAAGAUGCGAUAAACAUAAAACUGUGUUAGUUAAUCCAAUAACAGUUCCUUUUGUGUUCCUGUGGGAAAUCGGAUAUUGUGAAUGAAAAUUAAGAAGUCUGCUCGAAAAGAGACUGCGAUGCCUCAUAUGUGGAGCAGAUAAAACAACAGACAACUACAAACAAGAAACAUAAGAAUAACAGCAGUCAAAAUCCAUCAUAACAAUCUAUGAUUACAGGAAAAAUUUAAUCAAUAAUUUAAGUGAAAAUUGACCGAGAAAUGUUCAAAUACAAAUAAGAGAAGAAUAUCAUUGUCAAAAUCAAAUUUUUAAGAUAUGUUACUUUUGAUUUGCUGUACACUUACUGUAAAGAAGAACUUCGUGAUGCAGACAUCUAACUUGUGGCAAAACAACACUUUUUUUGCCAAAUUCGUUCAUUUCAUUCAAGAACGCGUCGAGCCUAAUUUCAUCAAAAUUGAGAAAGAAUGACAAAGAGAGGUAACCGCGCAGGUAGGCGGAUGCAGGUAACGAAGCUAUACAAAAGAUUGAUAGCUUCUGAGAAGUUUGACUCCUCCGUUUUCCUCGGGAUCCCUCCGGAAUCACGCCAUGGCCCAGCAACUCACGGCUCCCUCCGUUGGAGCAUCUCUUGCCCCUUCACGAUUCUAAGAUCACUACUGAAGAACCGCGAUCUGCAAGGAAUUAAACGCCAAACAGCAUCACGAAGGCCAACUUCUCCGGUCCUUGCCGCCGAGCCACGCGCCUCUACGGCCGUUUCUUGUCAAGUCCCGAAGGCCCUCAAAAUCUCGCGACGACCCCCUCAAGUCGUGUCUAAUAUCCCCGUCAAUAAUUGGACGGUAACCCACGUACCAGCAAAAUAUGUAGUGAAUAAAAGUGUAGAAAUA